RNAcentral lists this microRNA precursor (63 nucleotides) under Caenorhabditis brenneri. Its description in RNAcentral is "microRNA cbn-mir-7638 precursor". The record is from miRBase by way of RNAcentral. Lineage: Eukaryota; Metazoa; Nematoda; Chromadorea; Rhabditida; Rhabditidae.
AAGGAGCUAUUCGCGACCACUCAUGAUUCAUGAAAAUGAAGUGGCAGUGGAUAGCUCCUUUGA